RNAcentral lists this long non-coding RNA (1278 nucleotides) under Gadus morhua (Atlantic cod). Its description in RNAcentral is "lncRNA (ENSGMOG00000027471.1)". Lineage: Eukaryota; Metazoa; Chordata; Actinopteri; Gadiformes; Gadidae. The record is from RNAcentral.
AGCUUCCAUGGUAUGGCGCCCAAGCACCCCAAUCAAUGCAGAACUGUUCUACUAGUUGUUAUUUAUUAGAAACACCCAAGGAUAAUAUAAUUUGUUGCAUCUACAACUGUAUUCGAUUUUUUAAAGAAUCCCAUUCAUUUCCUGAAUGGCUUUUUGCUCAAUUGCUUCCAUGGUAUGGCAACCGAACACCUCAAACCAAUGCAGAACUGUUAUACGAGAUGAUACUAAUUAGACACACCAAAGGAUGAUAUAAUUUGUGGCAAUUUUAUUUGGGUUUUUUUAAGAAUCCCAUUCAUUUCCUAUAGUGAGCUUUGUGGUAUCAUUUAACUCUGAUUGGGAGUAUUGUAUUUGUCGAUCCAGGAUAUCCAAAGCAGCACGCUUCGUACCCCACUGGGACCUGACCUGGUUGUUGUAAUAUGAUAUCAUCUAUGGUCAACACAAAACAAUAAAUUAUUCAUUAUUUUCAAAAAAAAAAAAAAAAAUAGAGGCAACUAGGAUGACCUCCAACUAUAUCCCAAUUUAUCGUCAACUUGUUGACGAAACAUCAUUAGGACUCCAAUGCACCUCAUGUAAAGACUGCGACCCAGGACACGGUUGCUAUGAUUUUGUGUGCAUUAAUUCAUGUGCAUUUCUUUAUCAGGCAACCAAUUGCACAUCCCCUUUUUAGGUGUUGUUCCAUGGGUGUAAGGUAUCUGACAGGGUCUUCAGGGCAGACAAUAGAUGGCUGAAAGCUGAGAUGUAUAGGCGUUGAGCUCACUGUUUACUUCAGCUGUGUUUACGCUUCACGUUUGUGCUUUUCCAGAUAACCCAUCCGCACACAGGUAAGAGAUUGGAACAAUUUGGAGAAAUGCCAUACUGAUGUUUAUGGGGAUUGAACAUAUGCUGUAAUCUCAACCAAUACGUCGGUUUUCAGGCUAAAUGGUUGAUUUAUAUUGACUGUCAAUUCCUUUCUAGCUCCCCUGAUCAUUCUUAACCCGAGAAAUAUGAGCGACAAGUUAACUGCCCUGGAAUCAGGUCUUGCCCUUAUAUAUGGCACAUUUUUGAAAUAUGCAUCUAGUGAAGAAGGCGAUGAUCCCACAACAAUUAGCAAGAAGGAACUUUGUCAAAUGAUUGCUGAACAACUGCCUCACCUUGCAGGGAACGACAUGGCUGAGCAAGUGAUGAUGGAGCUGGACUCAGACCUGGACGGCACCCUGAACUUCCUGGAGUACUGUAGCUUUAUAACUUCUCUGUCCAUGAUCCUCCACAUUAUAGUCUCUGGGGAUCUUUCAUAGUAAA